Long non-coding RNA from Oreochromis aureus, 469 nucleotides. The record is from Ensembl. NCBI's taxonomy places the organism in Eukaryota, Metazoa, Chordata, Actinopteri, Cichliformes, Cichlidae.
GGUGGCUGAGAUGCAGCGGAGCGGAGGUGGAGUGCCUGGAUUAAAACAGGACAUAUUAGCAGCAUUUAACCUUCAGUUACUCUUUAUGUAGUUAGAUAGGAGUCAUGUUUCUUUUUAGCUGAAAAACCUUACACCCAGAGAGACAGCCAGGUUCAUAAUGGAUAUAAGGAAGUUUUUUCAAAAACAGAAGCCACAUUCAGUCCAAAGAGAGAGAGAGGAAAGAGGGGAACGUGAGGAGAAAGUACAAGGUCAGGAAGAACCAGAAGCUGUUGUCAUCAGUCACUUUCCUCGUUGUGUUGAUGGUGAGCUGCUCUUUAUGGACCUGAAACAAAGUUAUAACAAACAGCUGUGAAACAGACUGAUGCACAUGUAUGUAAAUUAUAUACGCUGCCCUCUGACAUGCACUACAUUAUGUGUGCAGUUUCAUUAUUCUAGAGAAACCAAUAAAAAUAAUCAAUAAAAGCUGGAU